Molecule: ribosomal RNA, 703 nt
Filed under: Acinetobacter sp. ECDP6_I
Lineage: Bacteria; Pseudomonadati; Pseudomonadota; Gammaproteobacteria; Moraxellales; Moraxellaceae
Description: bacterial SSU rRNA
Rfam family: Bacterial small subunit ribosomal RNA
Source: RNAcentral
GGGGGACAACAUUUCGAAAGGAAUGCUAAUACCGCAUACGUCCUACGGGAGAAAGCAGGGGACCUUCGGGCCUUGCGCUAAUAGAUGAGCCUAAGUCGGAUUAGCUAGUUGGUGGGGUAAAGGCCUACCAAGGCGACGAUCUGUAGCGGGUCUGAGAGGAUGAUCCGCCACACUGGGACUGAGACACGGCCCAGACUCCUACGGGAGGCAGCAGUGGGGAAUAUUGGACAAUGGGGGCAACCCUGAUCCAGCCAUGCCGCGUGUGUGAAGAAGGCCUUUUGGUUGUAAAGCACUUUAAGCGAGGAGGAGGCUACUUAGAUUAAUACUCUGAGAUAGUGGACGUUACUCGCAGAAUAAGCACCGGCUAACUCUGUGCCAGCAGCCGCGGUAAUACAGAGGGUGCAAGCGUUAAUCGGAUUUACUGGGCGUAAAGCGUGCGUAGGUGGCCAAUUAAGUCAAAUGUGAAAUCCCCGAGCUUAACUUGGGAAUUGCAUUCGAUACUGGUUGGCUAGAGUAUGGGAGAGGAUGGUAGAAUUCCAGGUGUAGCGGUGAAAUGCGUAGAGAUCUGGAGGAAUACCGAUGGCGAAGGCAGCCAUCUGGCCUAAUACUGACACUGAGGUACGAAAGCAUGGGGAAGCAAACAGGAUUAGAUACCCUGGUAGUCCAUGCCGUAAACAAUGUCUACUAGCCGUUGGGGGCCUUU